CUUUAUUGGAGAGUUUGAUCCUGGCUCAGGACGAACGCUGGCGGCAUGCCUAAUACAUGCAAGUCGAGCGGACUUGAUGAGAAGCUUGCUUCUCAGAUAGUUAGCGGCGGACGGGUGAGUAACACGUAGGCAACCUGCCCUCAAGCUUGGGACAACUACCGGAAACGGUAGCUAAUACCGAAUAGUUGUUUUCUUCACCUGAAGAAAACUGGAAAGACGGAGCAAUCUGUCACUUGGGGAUGGGCCUGCGGCGCAUUAGCUAGUUGGUGGGGUAACGGCUCACCAAGGCGACGAUGCGUAG
RNAcentral lists this ribosomal RNA (301 nucleotides) under Paenibacillus pabuli. RNAcentral's name for it is "partial 16S ribosomal RNA". It matches the Rfam family "Bacterial small subunit ribosomal RNA", at positions 1 to 286 of the family's 1533-position model. Lineage: Bacteria; Bacillati; Bacillota; Bacilli; Caryophanales; Paenibacillaceae. The record is from RNAcentral.